ACCGGCGCACGGGUGAGUAACACGUAUCCAACCUGCCGUCUACUCUUGGCCAGCCUUCUGAAAGGAAGAUUAAUCCAGGAUGGCAUCAUGAGUUCACAUGUCCGCAUGAUUAAAGGUAUUUUCCGGUAGACGAUGGGGAUGCGUUCCAUUAGUUUGUUGGGGGGGUAACGGCCCACCAAGACUACGAUGGAUAGGGGUUCUGAGAGGAAGGUCCCCCACAUUGGAACUGAGACACGGUCCAA
This 242-nucleotide ribosomal RNA is filed under the name uncultured bacterium. Its description in RNAcentral is "partial 16S ribosomal RNA". It matches the Rfam family "Bacterial small subunit ribosomal RNA", at positions 94 to 334 of the family's 1533-position model. The record is from RNAcentral.